AACUGAUACUACCUGCGGGAACCUGCGGAGGGAUCAUUACUGAAGUGAUUUGGGGAUGUUGCUGGCCCUCUCUCAAGGGGGGGCACUGUGCACUCCUCGAAACAAUUCACAAUUUCCAUCACACCCCUUGUGCACACCUUGUAGGCACCCAAACCCACCUCCGGGUGGUGGGGUCCUAUGUAUUCCUUCAUCUCACACUCCGUUGAAUGGUGCCAUGGGACGCAUCUAAAGGAUUAUUUG
RNAcentral lists this unclassified non-coding RNA (240 nucleotides) under soil metagenome. RNAcentral describes it as "partial contains 5.8S ribosomal RNA, internal transcribed spacer 2, and large subunit ribosomal RNA". The record is from RNAcentral.